Molecule: ribosomal RNA, 379 nt
Filed under: uncultured bacterium
Lineage: Bacteria
Description: bacterial SSU rRNA
Rfam family: Bacterial small subunit ribosomal RNA
Source: RNAcentral
UAAUACGUAGGUGGCAAGCGUUGUCCGGAUUUAUUGGGCGUAAAGCGCGCGCAGGCGGUCCUUUAAGUCUGAUGUGAAAUCUUGCGGCUCAACCGCAAGCGGUCAUUGGAAACUGGGGGACUUGAGUGCAGAAGAGGAAAGCGGAAUUCCACGUGUAGCGGUGAAAUGCGUAGAGAUGUGGAGGAACACCAGUGGCGAAGGCGGCUUUCUGGUCUGUAACUGACGCUGAGGCGCGAAAGCGUGGGGAGCAAACAGGAUUAGAUACCCUGGUAGUCCACGCCGUAAACGAUGAGUGCUAAGUGUUGGAGGGUUUCCACCCUUCAGUGCUGCAGCUAACGCAUUAAGCACUCCGCCUGGGGAGUACGGUCGCAAGACUGAA